RNAcentral lists this ribosomal RNA (506 nucleotides) under uncultured bacterium. RNAcentral's name for it is "partial 16S ribosomal RNA". It matches the Rfam family "Bacterial small subunit ribosomal RNA", at positions 30 to 523 of the family's 1533-position model. The record is from RNAcentral.
AUUGAACGCUGGCGGCAGGCUUAACACAUGCAAGUCGAGCGGUAACAGAGAGAAGCUUGCUUCUCUGCUGACGAGCGGCGGACGGGUGAGUAAUGCCUAGGAAUCUGCCUAGUAGUGGGGGAUAACUUGCCGAAAGGUAAGCUAAUACCGCAUACGUCCUACGGGAGCAAGGAGGGGACCUUCGGGCCUUUCGCUAUUAGAUGAGCCUAGGUCGGAUUAGUGAGUUGGUGAGGUAAUGGCUCACCAAGACCGCGAUCUGUAACUGGUCUGAGAGGAUGAUCAGUCACACUGGAACUGAGACACGGUCCAGACUCCUACGGGAGGCAGCAGUGGGGAAUAUUGGACAAUGGGGGGAACCCUGAUCCAGCCAUGCCGCGUGUGUGAAGAAGGUCUUAGGAUUGUAAAGCACUUUAAGUUGGGAGGAAGAGCAGUUAACUAAUAUUUGACUGUUUUGACGUUACCGACAGAAUAAGCACCGGCUAACUUCGUGCCAGCAGCCGCCGUAA